GCUUGUGUGGUUUAACGGUUAAAACAUUAACUUCAUGCGCUAAUAAUGAGAGUUCGAUUCUCUCCGCAAGCU
Molecule: transfer RNA, 72 nt
Filed under: Hirsutella vermicola
Lineage: Eukaryota; Fungi; Ascomycota; Sordariomycetes; Hypocreales; Ophiocordycipitaceae
Description: tRNA-Met
Rfam family: tRNA
About the family: Transfer RNA (tRNA) molecules are approximately 80 nucleotides in length. Their secondary structure includes four short double-helical elements and three loops (D, anti-codon, and T loops).
Source: RNAcentral